This 446-nucleotide ribosomal RNA is filed under the name uncultured bacterium. RNAcentral's name for it is "SSU rRNA". It matches the Rfam family "Bacterial small subunit ribosomal RNA", at positions 26 to 518 of the family's 1533-position model. The record is from RNAcentral.
AGAACGAACGCUGGCGGCACGCCUAACACAUGCAAGUCGAGCGCCCAGCAAUGGGAGCGGCGGACGGGUGAGUAACACGUGGGAAUAUGCCUUUCGGUACGGAACAACUCAGGGAAACUUGAGCUAAUGCCGUAUACGCCCUUACGGGGAAAGAUUUAUCGCCGAAAGAUUAGCCCGCGUCUGAUUAGCUAGUUGGUGAGGUAAUGGCUCACCAAGGCUUCGAUCAGUAGCUGGUUUGAGAGAACGACCAGCCACACUGGGACUGAGACACGGCCCAGACUCCUACGGGAGGCAGCAGUUAGGAAUUUUCCGCAAUGGGCGAAAGCCUGACGGAGCAACGCCGCGUGAGUGAUGAAGACCUUCGGGUUGUAAAGCUCUGUCGGAGGGGAAGAACACAAUGACGGUACCUCCAAGAAAGCCCCGGCUAACUACGUGCCAGCAGCCGC